GCCUGGCUGGCUCAGUUGCUACAGCAUGAGCUUCUUGAUCUCAGAGUCGUGAGUUUGAGCCCCACGUUGGGUG
RNAcentral lists this transfer RNA (73 nucleotides) under Canis lupus familiaris (dog). It matches the Rfam family "tRNA". Rfam says of the family: Transfer RNA (tRNA) molecules are approximately 80 nucleotides in length. RNAcentral also lists the same sequence under 2 other names. The record is from Rfam by way of RNAcentral. Lineage: Eukaryota; Metazoa; Chordata; Mammalia; Carnivora; Canidae.